UGGGGAAUUUUGUCCAAUGGGCGAAAGCCUGACGCAGCAACGCCGCGUGAGGGAUGACGGCCUUCGGGUUGUAAACCUCUUUGUCAGGGAAGCGGUACCUGGCGAAUAAGCCACGGCUAACUACGUGCCAGCAGCCGCGGUAAUACGUAGGUGGCGAGCGUUGUCCGGAUUUACUGGGCGUAAAGAGCGCGCAGGCGGUCGUCCAAGUCGCGUGUGAAACCCCCCGGCUCAACUGGGGAGGGUCACGCGAUACUGAUCGACUCGAAGGCAGGAGAGGGUAGUGGAAUUCCCGGUGUAGUGGUGAAAUGCGUAGAUAUCGGGAGGAACACCAGUGGCGAAGGCGACUACCUGGCCUGUUCUUGACGCUGAGGCGCGAAAGCUAGGGGAGCAAACGGGAUUAGAUACCCUUGUAGU
RNAcentral lists this ribosomal RNA (414 nucleotides) under uncultured bacterium. Its description in RNAcentral is "bacterial SSU rRNA". It matches the Rfam family "Bacterial small subunit ribosomal RNA", at positions 355 to 794 of the family's 1533-position model. The record is from RNAcentral.